This is an RNA transcript of Cryptotermes secundus, 4849 nucleotides long. RefSeq lists it as uncharacterized. The transcript has 4 exons. NCBI's taxonomy places the organism in Eukaryota, Metazoa, Arthropoda, Insecta, Blattodea, Kalotermitidae. The record is from RefSeq and is a predicted model, not a curated record.
AGAGUUUGAGGUUUUCACAGUGGUGGCUAUGAAGAGAGAACUCUUCUGUUAGGGAAAUAGUUUCUCUUUUCAUUGCCAUUAAUUUGUUCAAGGUUAUAAUGACAUGUUCACUGUUGAAGAAGUAAGAUUAACGGUACUAUCAAAUCAUGAAGAACUAUUGCUAUAUUUGUAAUUAAUGAUAGACGUGUCAUGCAUAAUAUUUAUUUCUGUACCAAAUUUCACACGCUUCCAAACUGCAGUGGUCAUUUGUUACUGCCAUUAAGCUGAAAACUGAAGAAAUAUUUACCUGGUUUCUGUGUUGUUCCUGUACAUUAUACAAAGUAUUUAUCUUAACAGAAGUUCAUGUUUUUCAAAGAGCUGUUACCAUACAUCAUGUCAGGACCGUCCAUGCAUCAGGUGGCAUUAGUGCCACUCCCAUCUCACAAGUUUGUAUGUUUGCAAGAUUGCUAUGUUGUUAUUACCAAUUGUAGGAAAAUAAUAAUUACAAGGUUUGGAUGACAUUAAAUGGUUUAACAUUCUCAUCAGAUUCCAUGAUAAUCACUCAACUGGUUCAAAACUUCAGUCAGGAGAUCCACGUAGACAAACGCAUUUAUCAUGGUGAGGUUGUGAGCCUACUCUUAGUCUUGAAGAAUGGAAAGUAGAUUGAACCAAACUUCAAGUAAUUUAAUGUGUUACAGGUCAGGUUAAUAGUGGUGGAUAGUCUGGCAUUCCCGUUUCGUAAUGGGACCCUGGAUUCUCUGCUGAGAACCAGAUUAUUGUGUGAUAUUAUGCAAGAACUGAAGAUGAUGGCAGUGAAGUAUAAUGUUGCAGUAUUAGUGACAAACCAGCUGACUACCAAAGUAGGCCCAGGAAAUGAUAGUCACUUAGUACCAGCUUUAGGUGACAGUUUUGGCCAUUACAGCAAUCAGAGACUUAUGUUGGGUUACCUGCAGCAUGGUUGUUAUGCAGCUGUCCUGUUUAAAAGCGUAAGAAAACCACAGUCAUCUGUAAAGUUCCAGAUACUCAAGAGCGGUAUUCGGGAUUGCAGCACAUCAGUUAAAUGAAAUAUACACUCCAUAAAGUGCCAUUCAUAGGAGGCUGUGGUAAUGUUAACUGCAGACUGAAUUGAUAUAUUUGUUUCAAGAUUCAUAAAUUAAUACAAGCAUAUGUGUUAAUGUGUUUGAAUACUAGUUGCCUGUUUUAAUGUUAAGAAAUCAUGAGAAGAAAGAAGAAAUUGAUGACUGUUCAUAUAGAACUGAAACUGUGCUAUAGGAAGAGGAAUGAGGAGGAGUACAUUAUACAGGAAGCCCACCCACGAUAAUCUAUUUGAAUGGCAGCAAAGAAGCAGAGUAUGCUGUCCAUCUUAACAAACAGAGCCAAAGCCAUCUAUGACCAGCACAGUCUCCAUGUUUAAUUAUAUUUUCUUCAGAAACCUACCAACAUGAUGACUACAACAACCAGCACAUUCCUCGUGCUCUCAGUUUACCACUGAAAGGUAAAUCACCUGUAGAAGAUCAUACUUCAGUGGCCCUCUGGUGCUUCAUUUAUACCACUUCAGCAGCGUUAGCAAAGAGCUAUCAAAGCAUAUCAUGACAGUAAGCAUCCCACCAAGGAAAGUCCUAGUUUCCUGUUUCCCACCAAGGAUAAUAUAGCCUUAAAAACAUUGGGCAUAUACAGCAUCUGCUGUGAAUGUGGUACAGUGUACAUUGGGCUGGUUGGAGAUUACAUCACAAUCAAGGCCAAAGAGUACUGUCACCAUAGCUGGAUAUGUCAGCUAGAGAAAUUAACCAUGACAAAACAGCAUAAACUUUGGUCAUGAUGUUGAACUAAAUCUUACCAGUAUCCUCGUCAGGAAAUCUACACAUAAGAAUCAUGUCAUCAAGGGCAUAACACAGAUUAAGCAGCUUCUUAAUAACUUUAACAAGGAAAGUGGUUUCUCACAGAGAAGGUGUGUAAGCCUAAUUCACAGCCUGAAGAAAUGGGACAGAUUUGUUUCUAUAGCAUAUUGACUUGGCACUCCUUUUCACUGGCCCUGAAAAGGGCAUUCAUUUUUAGUAUCCCUGUUAAGGGCCUUUUUUUUUUGUAAUGGUCCUAGCAAGUACUUUUUUCUGCUUCUGUUGACCUGAACAGAUCUGCCCCCUUUCAUGGCUCUGAUUGGUCAGUGUCCUUGUUCUGCCACCUUACUCAUAUAACCUAUCCAUAGCUUAUCCCUGGUCACUUCAACCGUGAAGAGGAAAGGAGCAGGUUCUUCUGAAGCAUUGGUAUCCACCUGCAUGAUGUCAUAACUCAGGGGACCUCAAUCUAGACCUACGGUGUUAUGUUUGUAUCUAUAUGUGUCACAUCUCCCCUAGUUACUUAAGAACAAAUUAAGGAUUUCACUAUCCAAACAUAUUUUGCUAAAACUGUCAAAUAAAACUGGCCCGGAUGUUUAUAUGCAAUGAUGAAUAAUUGUCUUUCCUUUCCUUCCUUUAUUUACUGCAGUUUUUUUUGUAAGGCUUCUGAAAUUUUCUGCCCUGCAAAUAUCCGUUAUUCGUAGCAAAUUCUGAAAUGUUAUAAUUGGUAUAUCUCUCUCUCUUUUUUUUAUACAAAUUAGUAGAUGUUUUGUAACAUCUGGAUCUUUCUAAUCACUUCAUUGGUCCAAUAUUGAGAAUGUGAGGAAGAAAUCAGAAUUGUAUGAGAAACCUAGUAGUGGGCAUAUUUAGAUCAAGACCUUCCAUGUUGAAUUCAUAAUUUUUCAUUUAGUUUAUUUGUAUUCCUAAAUUGAAUAUGUAAGUUUGUGAUUCUUUUAACAAAGAACAGUUACACUUUGAUAUAACUUGUACCUUCACUGCAGCAUUUAGCAUAGAAUGAGUAAUCAUAUUUAUUUUUAUCAGUGACAAGAAUGAGAAUAAUUUUGUAUUUUAUUUGCUGUAGACUGUUUAAUGACCUGUUUAUCCUGGUCCUCCAGAUUGAGGGUUUAUUAGGAGUCAGGUAACAACUCCAGAUAAAAACAUAUUUACUCAGAAACUUUAAUAUAAUGUGUCUGGAAUAAGGAAUACUAAAAAUUAUUGCUAUUUCUCUAGUUUUCCAAACCUCUCAGUGAAACUUUUUAGGCAGUGAAAACCUAUCAAAAGUCUAUUUCUAUUAACCAAGCUACACAGAAGAUUCAGAAAUCGCUGUUCAAAAAUUGUUUUCUAUGUGUUUCACCUUUUAAAAGUAAAGAAAACACUAGAAAAUUGGAACCGUAAAUUUUCACAGUUGCUUAAUUGCUCAGGGCCGACAGAACUUUGAAUAGAGUGAUGCAAAAUAGUGUUCUGAAAGUAUGAAACAUGCUGUGUUGUGUUUAGUUGACAGUUUGGUCUUCGCCUUUUGAUUAAUUUUCUUUUUCAUUAUCUGUGCUAUCAUCGUCAUCUUCCCCAUUUUCCAUUUCUUGCUGAUAGUUCUUGGGCUUGACAUUUGCAGGAUUAUUGUCCACACCAUCCACAGCUACUGGGAUAUUGUUUGCUAUUACCAUUAUUGGUGUUGUUUGUAGCAUCUGAAACUUUUGACUGGAUGUGUUCAUCACUACCAGUGUCCUCUGACACAGCAGUUCAAUGACACUUUGAAGAAAGUUUCUCUGGAAAUUUUGUAUGAACUGUUAAAAUUAUUACUCUGAUUUUGAAAUAUCAGUUAUCUAUUUAGCUGAUCAUAAUUAUGAGAGUAUUUUUUGCUGGGUUGUUUUGUUUCACAUACAACUACCCAAUUCACUUCAGCUUGUAUGGUGUAUCAGCAUUACAAAUGGACAAUACACAAAAGGACGGAAAUCCAACAAGAUAACCAGUCUAUCAUAACCGCAAACCGCUUUGAAGUGCUGUCGAAUCUGAAAGAGCCUGAAUUCAAAAAGGUAACUCGUCAACAAACAAGUGGGAAAGUUAGGAGAAAAAAGGAUAAUCUUCAAAAUCCAAGAAACAAGAUUUUAUUUCUUGGUGACAGUCAUGUAAGGGAAAUGGCGGCUAAACUAUGACAUAACCUGAAUGUGGAAUACAGUGUUCGAGGACUAGUAAAACCUGGUGCAGAUCUAGCAACAAUUUUAACUUCAGGUGAAUGAUAUUGAGGACUUCUCUAAAAAGGAGUUGGUGAUUGUGUGGGGUGGUACUGAGGAUGUUAGCAGGAAUGAGACUGAUAAGGGACUGAUCCAAAUUAGGAACUUUGUAAACAAGAAUACUCACACAAAUGUUUUAGUUAUGAACCUAACAGAUAGACAUGACUUGGGGCAAAAAUCAUGUGUAAAUGAUGAGGUGAAAAGGUUUAACAGAAAGUUAAAAAAAAAAUGAAGGUGUUAUAGAGAUAGAAUCCAAAAGGGACUCAUUUACUAAACAUUGGUUACAUAUGAAUUCAAGAGGUAAGGAGCAGAUAGUAAAAGGAAUAGUAAUAGAAAUUUUGGAUAUGUGGAGGGAGAAAAAGUCUCACCCAAUUAUAAUGAAAGGGAAGGAUGAACAAGAGCUAGAAGAGGAAGGGACUCAUAUUCCACCAAGAAAUGGACCCUUGAAAACAGAAGGAAAAGAAAUGGUCAACCCAGGAACAUAGAAGGUUUGAUUGUCACUGAAUUAGACAAUACCCCUGAUAAACGUAACAGGAGAAAACCCAUUAAUAGGAGCUCGGAUGAAUUACAUAUGAAUUCAAGAGGUAAGGAGCAGAUAGUAAAAGGAAUAGUAAUAGAAAUUUUGGAUAUGUGGAGGGAGAAAAAGUCUCACCCAAUUAUAAUGAAAGGGAAGGAUGAACAAGAGCUAGAAGAGGAAGGGACUCAUAUUCCACCAAGAAAUGGACCCUUGAAAACAGGUGGAAAAGAAGUGGUCAACCCAGGAACUUAGAAGGUUUGAUUGUCACUGAAUUAGACAAUACCCCUGAUAAA